AAAACAAGCAACUCCGUGGUUUCCGGCACCGACGAACCACCGACGCGUGUAAGCUCUGUCAAAUUCGGCCCUCGCGCUCGAGCAGGGGGCGGGCCACCGCGGAACCCUCGAUCCGAGGGGAGGUCCCAGAACGAGGAGAGGCCGGCCUCGCCGGAUCUAUCGGUUUCUUAUGGGAACCUGCUUCGGAAAGGAUGUGGAUGAUACUGAUCCAGAUGAGAAGAUAGAUUUUUCUGGAGGAAAUGUGCAUAUCAUAAAUAGCAAACAGGAGUGGGAUGAAAAAAUUUCAG
This 287-nucleotide unclassified non-coding RNA is filed under the name Hevea brasiliensis (rubber tree). The record is from RNAcentral. Lineage: Eukaryota; Viridiplantae; Streptophyta; Magnoliopsida; Malpighiales; Euphorbiaceae.